CCUACGGGUGGCAGCAGUGAGGAAUAUUGGUCAAUGGGCUUACGCCUGAACCAGCCAAGUCGCGUGAGGGAAGACUGCCCUAUGGGUUGUAAACCUCUUUUGUCAGGGAGCAACGCCUGCUACGUGUAGCUGUACUGAUAGUCCCUGCAGAAAAAGCAUCGGCUAACUCCGUGCCAGCAGCCGCCGUAAUACGUAGGAUGCGAGCGUUAUCCGGAUUUAUUGGGUUUAAUGGGUGCGUAGGCGGAAUGCCAAGUCAGCGGUAAAAUCGCGGGGCUCAAACGCGCUCCGCCGUUGAAACUGGCGUGCUUGAGUGGGGGAGAGGUGUGCGGAAUGCGAGGUGUAGCGGUGAAAUGCAUAGAUAUCACGAAGAACUCCGAUUGCGAAGGCAGCAUACCGGCGCCAAACUGACGCUGAAGCGCGAAAGCGUGGGGAUCAAACAGGAUUAGAUACCCGUGUAGUC
This 460-nucleotide ribosomal RNA is filed under the name uncultured bacterium. RNAcentral's name for it is "partial 16S ribosomal RNA". It matches the Rfam family "Bacterial small subunit ribosomal RNA", at positions 338 to 795 of the family's 1533-position model. The record is from RNAcentral.